GAUGAAGAACGCGGCGAAAUGCGAUAGGUAAUGUGAAUUGCAGAAUUCAGUGAAUCAUCGAAUCUUUGAACGCACAUUGCGCCCUUUGGUAUUCCUUAGGGCAUGCCUGUUCGAGCGUCACUACACACCUUAUCACAAUAUUUGUGGUCUUGGCAGGAGUGAAUUGCUGGUCUAUGGAAGUAUUCCAGCAGUACACAAUGCUAAAAAAUAUGGGAAGGUUACCAGAUAUGAACAACAGACUUUGUAAAUGGUUGUAGGACCUAGAUCAGUCACAAGUCAUGUCUGGUCCCUUACCUUAAGGACCCCCAUCCUAGAUGAACUAUGGGUUGACCUCGGAUCAGGUAGGAAUACCCGCUGAACUUAAGCAUAUCAAUAAGCGGAGGA
Molecule: unclassified non-coding RNA, 384 nt
Filed under: soil metagenome
Description: partial contains 5.8S ribosomal RNA, internal transcribed spacer 2, and large subunit ribosomal RNA
Rfam family: 5.8S ribosomal RNA (bases 1-120)
Source: RNAcentral